This 4992-nucleotide long non-coding RNA is filed under the name Olea europaea subsp. europaea. The record is from RNAcentral. Lineage: Eukaryota; Viridiplantae; Streptophyta; Magnoliopsida; Lamiales; Oleaceae.
AAAAUCUUCCAUCCAAUUAAACAUCCGGGUCAAACUGACCCGUCUCUCCCACUCGGGGGUCUCAAAACCCAUUCAAUUUUGCGAGUUUUCUUGUGCAGAAAGAAGAGAAUCCUUUAAAUCUCUGAGAAAAACCGGAGAAAUAGAAAAGGAAAAGUUAAAAGAAGAGGGAUGGAUCCGAAAAUUACAGAGGCUACACAAGCAUUCGAAAGAUUUAAAGCUGCGUUUGCGCGGAAUGAUUUUGACAAGUGUAAUGAACUCCUAUCCCAGCUCAAGGUACAACUCUAAUGACUAAAAAGCCCUAAUUUUUCUAAGAAAUUUUGUGAUUUAGUGAAAGAAAAACUCAUUCUUUACUGGAUUCCGGUUUUGAUUGACAUGAUUGAAAUGUCUUGUGUAGUUGUGAUAUUAUUAGCUUUUAAUGUUAUAUAUGGGUUUGUUCUGUAGAGAUAUUAAUGGGGUUAGAUCUAUGGAUUUUUGCUUGAGCCGAUUAAUUUUGCAAUUUCAGCUCAAUAUUUUUAUUUUGAAUUGCUGAAGUUUCUAGUGAUUCAUGGUUUUGGAGUAGGCUGAAGAUACAACUCCAAUUACUAAAUCCCUGUUUCACUGAGAAUGUUUAAAAAUUUAGAGAAACUGAAACUUGUUCAUUGCUGGGUUUUGCUAUGGCUUGAUUUUAUCUAAAUAUAUUAUGCACCUGUGAUAAUAUUUUGCUGUUGGUGUUUUAGAUAGGUUUGUUCUGUAGAACAAUCAAUGGUGUUUAGAUCUAAUGUUUUUUCUUUGAACUGAUUAAUUUUCGGUUUUGAUUGACUUUAUUAUAAUGUAUUGUGCAUGUGUGAAUCAUGAUAGAAUUCUGCUUUGGGCGUUUUAGGUACACUUGUUUUGAAGAGAAACUCACGGUGCUAGAUCUAAGGCUUUUUGUCUGAGCUGAUCAAUUUUGCAUUUUGUGCUCAAUAUUUGUUCAAUAAUUAAAGUUGGUAGUUUUUCCUGGUUUUACAGUUGGCUGAAGGUACAACUCCAAUGACUAAAAGCCUUAGUUAUCUGAGAAUUUUUUGAUGACUUAGUGAAACAAAAACUCAUUCAUUACUUGGUUUUGGUUUUGGUUUUGCUUUACUCUAUUGAAAUAUAUUGUGUAAGCAUGACUGUGUUUUGCUUUUGGUGUUUUUAGAUUGUUUUGUAGGAUUCAGUAAUGAUUUAUUUAGGUUAUUUGAUUAAUAUGGUGUUGUGCAGUGUAGGAUUCUAUGGGUGGAAAAAAAAAAAAAAGAUUAUUCUCUAAGCAAUGCAUAUAUCUAGUGCUUUUUAUUUGAGAUGAUAACUUUUUCUGUUUUUUCUUAAUAAUAUGAUUGUUGAAUUAUGAAAGACAGCAGUGUUUCAUGGGUUUGCAGUAGUUUGAAAAGAUUAGGUAGUUUCAAUAAUUUCCAUAAGAAAAAAAUUAGUGCGUCAGCGAAUUAUUACUGUGUAUUGGGUAGUAACACUCUUUCUUGUUCAUCAAUGAUCUAUCAAGAAAACUUGUAAUGUGAUUUUGAGUAUUAUAUGUAUUCAUUUUUUUAAAGAAGCUUGCUAAAUGUUUUGAACAUGGAAGUUGAGAAGAAGUGUAAAGCAAUACAACAUGUGUUUUUCUUGUGUUGCACACCAUUAUAAAUAAUAAUUGAGAAAAAGGAGGAAACUAUGAUGUUUUGUGUAGUGAUAGGAAAGAAUGUUGUGGAUGUUAAAGAAAAUGGAAAGUAAGGUCCCCCCCCCCCCCUUCUUAUUUUCUUUUUCUUUUCCUUUCACCAAGUGCUUGCGGAAUGUAGAUUUCUCUUUCAACUCUUUGGAUUCCUAUUUCAACUCAUGAAAGUUCUGUGUUCAUUAUAAUAUUUUAUGUAUGUUAAGAACUGUUUGGUACUUUGACAAAUAAUGACACUGGAAUUUUUAUUGUGGUUGAAAUCGUUAAUCUAUGGUGCACUAUGUUAUUACUGCUGCAGGUUCUGCUGACAAAAUUGAAGAGUCUACCUCCAUUAUUCGAAGAAACGCCAAAUGCAAUCCAUGAAUUGACACUAGCAAGUAACAUUUCGCCCCUAAUAUGACCUGAGAUCUUUCGUGUAAUUCUUCUUGAUUUCCUUUGAAAUUUUUGUUUUGAUUGACUAUUAAUAUUGGUUACUGCAACAUUGUUCAGGGGAAAUAUAUGAGCAUGCGGUUGUUUUAAGUGUGAAGAUUGAGGAUUUGGAUGCUUUUGAGAGGGACUUUUUCCAACUGAAACCUUACUACACAGAUGCACGGUAAGUUGGUAUCUAUACAUUAUUAUAUGUCAAUGCUCAUGUUACCAUGUUUGUACAGUACAUGACAGAGAGGGUGGCAAAAAAGGGGCUGAGCGUUGUAAUCACUUUUGAAAAUGAUCUCUUUUUAUCGUACUUGUUCUUUUUUUUAAUAUAAAUAAAAUAAGAGGACUUCUUCCACAACCUCUUUCAUGAGACAAAGUGAUGUCUGAGUUGAUCCAUACAUCACAUUUUUUGAAUAUUAAUCCUCCGUUUGGAUACAAAUUUGUAAAUGGUUUUUAAAUUCAGUCAAAUUCAAAUAUAAUUUCAACCACACAUAUUAACCCUAUUCAUUACUAUCCACACAUUUUGUGGAACCCACUACCAUUCCUUUUUAUAAACCAUUUAUAAAUUUGCCAAAGGGAAGCUAAAUUGAUGGUUAUUUUCUUUGUCAUUGGGGUUGAAAAUGCAAUAACCUCAAGCAGUUAAGAACUAGGGGCCAAGUGGACACGCAGAGUUUAUUCUUAUGGAUGCUGUCAAAAGAAACUUGGACAUGUUGAGAUUUCCAAAAAAAUGACAAUAUAUGCUGUCUGUCUCACAUUGAAACUCUACUUUCUUGGGAGUCUCAAUGCUUCUUAGAUGUACACAUUUUCCAGUGUUGUAUACAAUUUCAACGGUGUUGGGGGUGUUAUAAGCAUUGAUUUAAUAAAUUGGUACAUUUUGCUAACCUUUGUUUUUUCAAAGGUGACUCUAAUUUUGUGACAUUUUUACAUUUCUGUUUCAUUGAGCCCCGUUUGACAACCAUUAUUUGAACUCUUUUUUUUACAUAUUAAUUUUCAACCAAACAUUUGCACAAUAAAAUAUUCUGCAUGAACCCAAAACUUUUUUCCUAGUUUUUAACAAUACAUUCUCCUAAAAAUCACUAUUCAAAACAUUGUUUUUCCAAAAUAAUGGUUGUCAAACAGGAGCUGAAUAUGAUGUUUCACUUUCCAAUAUAUAACUUAAGAAGACAGUUUCACUAUGUCGGGUUUUUUAUUUUUAAGACAGUGCUUAUGGCCUUUAUUGCAUUUGAUUGUGCAGUGGCCGUCUUCCACAGUCCCCACAGGAGUAUCUGAUCUUGGGUCUCAACCUUCUGAGACUCCUUGUGCAGAACAGAAUUGCUGAAUUCCAUACUGAGUUGGAAUUACUAUCUGAUGUUGCUUUGGAAAAUCCUUGCAUCAAGCAUGCUGUUGAGUUGGAACAAUCCUUCAUGGAGGGAGCUUAUAACCGUGUUUUGAGUGCUAGACAAACCGUACCUCAUGAAACCUACGUUUAUUUUAUGGAUUUGCUGGCAAAUACUGUCAGGUAUGUUUUUUCCUCCCCAUUUUUGGGUUUCAUUUGCUAUUUCAUUUUCUUCUUGGUAGUUGGAGUUGAUUUAGAACUAAUAAUUACCAUUUGUUACAAAAGCCAAUGGGAAGAAGUAGCUUCUUUAGAUAUUUAGAUACUGUUGUCAUUUCCAUCAACCUACUUGGAUCAGUUUCAUGCACAUUAUCAUGAGCUACUAAUUUACUUUACUGUUGCCUUAAUUUUUUAUCGGAACUCUGCUGCAUAAGAUAGUCCUUAAUGUGGGCGUGCUAUACAUAGAUUUCCAGUUGUAUUUUUGCUCCUGAAAUUUUAUUUGUUGUUGGUAGGGACGAGAUAGCUGGAUGCAGCGAGAAGGCAUAUGACAGCCUUUCCAUAAAGGACGCACAGCAAAUUCUUCUGUUUUCUUCAGAUUAUGAACUGGUUGAAUACAUUAAGAAAGUAAGUGCCUUGCAACACAUUGCUCCAAACCUUCACUCUACAUAAACCCAACACUGUGGGGUAAUCAAGUUUCCAAAUUUGGCCUUCUGCUAAUUAAGCCCAUGUUUGAUAGAAUUUUUUUGGAAAAAAUGAGUUUUUGAAUGGUAAAUUUUUGGGGAAUAUGUAGUUAAAAAGUAGAAAAGAGUUUUGUGUUUACGUGAAGAAUAUUUUACUACGAGGAUGUGUGAUUGAAAAUUAGUAUGAAAAAAAUUGUCAAACAGGUGCCAAAUGGGAGCAGCACUAAUUGCUUGUUUGGUAUUGUAGAUGAUAUGAUAAUACGAAGGACAAUAUUAAAGAUAAGAACGAAGUAAAAUUUUAUUUAUUAAAAUGUUAAACCUUGACUAGUACGUUGAGCAUUUACCAUUUGCAAUAUGUAGGAGCAUCCCGAGUGGGAGAUUGAGAAUGGGUUUGUAUUUUUCCAACGAGCCAAAGAAUCGGUGCCUUGCAAGGAAAUUCCAUCUUUGCAACUUAUCAAUCAGACGCUCAGUUAUGCAAGGGAAUUGGAGCGCAUCGUGUGAGGGAUGUGCUGCCCAGUCGUUGUUUGUUCUUCCAUUUUCAUUAUAUUUGGUGGCUAAUCCGUUGUUUCUGUUUGGGAGUAUUUAUUAACUACAUCACAAAAUCCAGAAUGACAAAAUAUUUAAACGUUGUUGGAUUUUUUUAUUUUUUUUGUAUUUUGUCGAUUUGAAUCCAUUUUUCGUAUUUUGUUGUGUUCCCAACAGAAGGCAUAUAAAUCUAGUGGAUAUGAUCUUUUUACUUAUUGGCACAGACCAUUUUAGUGGAUGCACAUAGCAUUACCGAUGAGUGAUGAGUUACCAUAUGGCCCGUAUGGCAUGUCUUUUUGCUUCUACUUCAGAUAGAAGAGUUUUAAGAGAGUUAAGUUUUGUUUGGAAACUAAUUUUCAAAAGAAUUUUUAAUUUCAGAAGUGUCUUUAGAGGAAGAUACAAUGGAC